RNAcentral lists this ribosomal RNA (253 nucleotides) under uncultured bacterium. RNAcentral describes it as "partial 16S ribosomal RNA". It matches the Rfam family "Bacterial small subunit ribosomal RNA", at positions 524 to 776 of the family's 1533-position model. The record is from RNAcentral.
UACGUAGGGGGCAAGCGUUGUCCGGAUUCAUUGGGCGUAAAGAGCGUGUAGGCGGCCGCACAGGUCCGUUGUGAAAACUGGAGGCUUAACCUUCAGACGUCGAUGGAAACCGUGCGGCUAGAGUCCGGAAGAGGAGAAUGGAAUUCCUGGUGUAGCGGUGAAAUGCGCAGAUAUCAGGAAGAACACCCGUGGCUAAGGCGGUUCUCUAGUACGGUACUGACGCUGAGACGCGAAAGCGUGGGGAGCGAACAGG